ACCCUUCGGGUGAUUUGUUGGGCGUCGAGCGGCGGACGGGUGAGUAAUGCCUGGGAAAUUGCCCUGAUGUGGGGGAUAACCAUUGGAAACGAUGGCUAAUACCGCAUGAUGCCUACGGGCCAAAGAGGGGGACCUUCGGGCCUCUCGCGUCAGGAUAUGCCCAGGUGGGAUUAGCUAGUUGGUGAGGUAAGGGCUCACCAAGGCGACGAUCCCUAGCUGGUCUGAGAGGAUGAUCAGCCACACUGGAACUGAGACACGGUCCAGACUCCUACGGGAGGCAGCAGUGGGGAAUAUUGCACAAUGGGCGCAAGCCUGAUGCAGCCAUGCCGCGUGUAUGAAGAAGGCCUUCGGGUUGUAAAGUACUUUCAGUCGUGAGGAAGGGGGUAUCGUUAAUAGCGGUAUUCUUUGACGUUAGCGACAGAAGAAGCACCGGCUAACUCCGUGCCAGCAGCCGCGGUAAUACGGAGGGUGCGAGCGUUAAUCGGAAUUACUGGGCGUAAAGCGCAUGCAGGUGGUUCGUUAAGUCAGAUGUGAAAGCCCGGG
This 543-nucleotide ribosomal RNA is filed under the name Vibrio pacinii. RNAcentral describes it as "bacterial SSU rRNA". It matches the Rfam family "Bacterial small subunit ribosomal RNA", at positions 70 to 606 of the family's 1533-position model. The record is from RNAcentral. Lineage: Bacteria; Pseudomonadati; Pseudomonadota; Gammaproteobacteria; Vibrionales; Vibrionaceae.